This 70-nucleotide transfer RNA is filed under the name Pangasianodon hypophthalmus (striped catfish). RNAcentral's name for it is "tRNA-Glu". The record is from RNAcentral. Lineage: Eukaryota; Metazoa; Chordata; Actinopteri; Siluriformes; Pangasiidae.
UCACUGGAGGACUAGUGGUUAGGUCUCGCGCUCUCCCGGUGUGGCCCGGGUUCGAUUCCCAGCCAGGGAA